Molecule: long non-coding RNA, 31424 nt
Filed under: Elaeis guineensis (African oil palm)
Lineage: Eukaryota; Viridiplantae; Streptophyta; Magnoliopsida; Arecales; Arecaceae
Description: long non-coding RNA (EGUI_LNC022313)
Source: RNAcentral
ACACAACGCAGUAAUAAAACAUCAUCCCCAACCAACCACACAACCUUCAUAUGCCAUUUGUACCACAGGAAAUAUUAUUCACGAACACCGUUAACAAGAUCGAUCACAACCGUCCAAUUUCACCUCACUGCACGGUGAUCUCCCUCUCGGGCGGGGUCGCAGCAGCAGUCUCACCCUCGGUGGCGGAGGCGGCGAAGACCUUGGCGAUGCGGUCGGUGGGUACGAGGGGGAGGUAGGCGGACACGGCGUAGCCCUUCUCCGCGGAGUAGGAGACCGCGCGGUUGUAGCCCUCCGACAGGUGGGCCGCCGCGGGGACCACCACCCGCUGGGCCACCUGGGGGAAGAGCGGCAGCCGGUUCAGCGACCGCCAGGUCGACACCGCGCACCGCUCGGCCGCCGGCUCGCACCGCGCGCGGACCGACCGGGCGAGACCGGCCGCCGUCCCCACCACGCCGGAGCGCUGGACCUCCCCCGCCACGGACUUCACCGCCGACGGCACGUGACGCUCCAGCUCCUGAACCGAUUCCCCCACCUGUGAUCCCGCGGCACACGAACCCAACCAAAAUAAUAGCGUCAAUGUUACGACGAAUUCAGUCAAAAACUAAUGGUAAUAACAACAACGACAAUAAUAAUUAUAUAAUAAAAUAAGCAUAAAUUCGAGAAAGUCCGGUAAAGGUACGUAAGGCACGCUAGAGAUGGUUGCUAACGUGCGCCAGACGUUGCUAGCUUGCUCAAAAAGGAUGCAUAUUGCUAGAUUGCGAAAGAGGUCACAGGCUAACGUGCACCAACACCAUGCUAACUUGCGCAUCUAGGAUGCAGCAGGUCCAUCGUGCGCUGGCGCGAGAGGCAAUUGAUAGAUGCUAUCGUGCGCCGGCUACGAUGGAAGCGAAGGAAAGAACGCCAAAACGCCCGAUCUACAGCCCCCAAGGAGGCGCCGAGGACGGGGACACAAAAAGACACGCAUCCCUUAUCGUAGAACCAACAGGAUAUUUCGAGGGAGGAGGAAGAGAGGAGUGGGGGUGUGGGAAGGGGGAGGGAUACGGACCUUGCGAUCGACGAACUUGAGGAACUCGAAGGGGACGUCGUGGAACUUAUCGUAGACAGGGCCGACGACGGUCUUGACCGUUCCCUCCACCGUCUGGACGCCGGGCUUCAGCGGCCCCGCGUUCUCCUUCGCGUACUCGUACAGCGUCGCCAUGCACACCACCGCCUGCAGCGCCGCCACGUGCACCAACUCCAGGUACCUCAGCCUCUGCUCCUCCUCCGAUCUCUGAAAAUUCAAUACUCAACAACCCAUCAACAAAACAGAACCCUAAAAAUUCCCAAAGAAAUCAAAAGAAAAUAAAAUUGGAGCGGAGUUCUCACAAUCUGAUCCGGUUGGACAUUGGAUUCGGCCAUUUUGGAGUCGAUAUCGAAUGAAGAGAGGAAAAACCCGAGCAAAGAUGCGACCUUUGGGGAAGAAAUUGGGGGUCGAAGGAAGACUCUAGAAUAAUACCAGAUCUCUGUUUAGAAUUAGGGGCAAUGGAAAGUAGGGUCGGCUGGCGUUUCUUAUAGGCAAGGCAUUCUCUCGGCCGUUUGAUGUGAUCUCCGAUCGGACGGUCACGGCGAGCAGUCGUGCGCGGCGCCACUCCAUUUGGUAGACGGUUUGACGACUUCGAGGCGAAGGAAUUUCAAUUUAAUUUCAUUUGAAUUCCUAUGCGGAACUCGGCUGAUUCCAUGGCCGUACGAAAUUUCUAUACAAACAUAAGAUCGACCGUCUGGUUUUACGUGGGGAGAUUAUCUAUCCGUCCAUCUGUCAAGGGACGCAUAGAAGUGUGUACUGAUGAGGACGGGCACGGAUGGGGGGCUCCUUGAGUUUUCCCACCGCAAGAUCGUAUGUGACACGUGUCAGAUGACGAGUGGAGAUCUGGCGGCAGUCGGCUCCGGGGCCUUCCAGAGGAGGAGAAAUUAUUGAAACAAAAAUGACAUAAGGUGGGCACCAAGAAAACAUGGGAUGGACUUCCCAUUUUAUCAUAUUUUAUCUAUCGUCGAUCUUAAAAUAGAAGUUGAAAAGCCUCCAUGGAUACAUAUGUUACAGCUAGAUAAUACAAGCCAAAUAAAUAAUUUAUUUAUUAAAUUAAUAUAUAUAUUUGGAGAUAUAAUUGAUCCGAAUCGAAUCGAAUAGUUAGAAAUUCGAGUUCGACUUAAUUCAAAAUAUUUAGACUUAAAAUUCAUCUCAAAUUUAUUUAAAUUUUAAUAUCUUAAGCUCAAUUCAAUGAAAAAAGAUUAAUCUCGAUGCGACUCAAAUACGACUCAAAUAUUAAAAUAAAAUUUUUAUAGUCGGAUCGAUCAUGAAAAAAAUUAUGAUCGAACCGUCAUCGUCUUCCACAUGCAUUUAUUGGGACAUUCAUAAAAAAAGAAAUGAUUAUGUAAUAUGUCACGUCCCCGACCCGAAAUUGUGAAUCGAGAAUCAUGGCAACCGCCGCAUACUUAUGAAGAACUCUCUCCAUAAACAUGCAAGGCAUCUUAUCACGAUAUCAAUGCAUCACAAUGGAAUAAAUUCAAAAUAAUUAUUAUUAGACUUUAAUUCAAGUAAUUAAAUCAAAUGUCUUACGUCCAAUAAAAUUUUACUAAAACAAUAAAUCUAAGUUCAAUGAAGUUAACAAUGCUAAAUUUCGCCUCUAAAAGCUCUGUCUCAAUAUUUCUUCCCACGCUCGAAAUUAAUUAUCUGAAUUUGAAAAAUAGAAANNNNNNNNNNNNNNNNNNNNCCCCCACUGGCGGGGUCCACAAACACCAGCGCACAACCCCCACUGGUAGGAUCCACAAACACAGCGCACAACCCCCACUGGUAGGAUCCACUGAGUACCAACGUAUAAUCCCCAUUAGCGGGGCCCACUGAAACAUAGUUAGACUGAGAGCAUAAAUUCGAUCUGUAUUAAAAUACUUUGUAUCAUAAUAUAUCAUAAAUAAUUCACUGAACAUGUACAUAAUCGACAUACCAUAAUAUUUCAAAAGUACUUUCUUUCAAAACAUAAUUCAUAAUUCAUGCAUAAUUUCAGAGAAUAAUUAUUUAUUUUCAGAAUAAAUAUGAAAUAUCUCGAAAAGAUGAUUCAUUACUUACCUUUCACGGAGCACUGAAUGAACAGAUCGACUAACUUCGAGGAGAUUCUUCAGUGCCUAUUAUCCAAAAUUAUAUUUUUACAUUAAUUUUAAUUUAAAAUUUAAUCUAAAUAAAUCCCAAAUCAAGACCUCACUUAAAAUUAGACUCCUCCCUAAACUCGAUCAAAAUCAUCAAAUGAAGCCUUACACUAUGCUAAUCCUAAAGGAAUAACUUUAGAGAGAGAAAAAUUCAUCAAGAGAGAGAAACAACUUAGAGAGAAAAAAUUCUAGAGAGAGAAAGUAGAGAGAGAAAGUCCAAUUCUAGAGAGAGAAGGGUUCAGACUGAAGAAGAGAGAGAAGAGAGAGAAACUCUCUCUCUCAUUUUUAUUUAUUUAUUUAUUUAUUAUAUAUAUAUGUGUAUAUAUAUAUAUUUUAUUAUUAUUAUUAUUAUUAUUAUUUAUUAUUAUUUUAUUUUNNNNNNNNNNNNNNNNNNNNNNNNNNNNNNNNNNNNNNNNNNNNNNNNNNNNNNNNNNNNNNNNNNNNNNNNNNNNNNNNNNNNNNNNNNNNNNNNNNNNNNNNNNNNNNNNNNNNNNNNNNNNNNNNNNNNNNNNNNNNNNNNNNNNNNNNNNNNNNNNNNNNNNNNNNNNNNNNNNNNNNNNNNNNNNNNNNNNNNNNNNNNNNNNNNNNNNNNNNNNNNNNNNNNNNNNNNNNNNNNNNNNNNNNNNNNNNNNNNNNNNNNNNNNNNNNNNNNNNNNNNNNNNNNNNNNNNNNNNNNNNNNNNNNNNNNNNNNNNNNNNNNNNNNNNNNNNNNNNNNNNNNNNNNNNNNNNNNNNNNNNNNNNNNNNNNNNNNNNNNNNNNNNNNNNNNNNNNNNNNNNNNNNNNNNNNNNNNNNNNNNNNNNNNNNNNNNNNNNNNNNNNNNNNNNNNNNNNNNNNNNNNNNNNNNNNNNNNNNNNNNNNNNNNNNNNNNNNNNNNNNNNNNNNNNNNNNNNNNNNNNNNNNNNNNNNNNNNNNNNNNNNNNNNNNNNNNNNNNNNNNNNNNNNNNNNNNNNNNNNNNNNNNNNNNNNNNNNNNNNNNNNNNNNNNNNNNNNNNNNNNNNNNNNNNNNNNNNNNNNNNNNNNNNNNNNNNNNNNNNNNNNNNNNNNNNNNNNNNNNNNNNNNNNNNNNNNNNNNNNNNNNNNNNNNNNNNNNNNNNNNNNNNNNNNNNNNNNNNNNNNNNNNNNNNNNNNNNNNNNNNNNNNNNNNNNNNNNNNNNNNNNNNNNNNNNNNNNNNNNNNNNNNNNNNNNNNNNNNNNNNNNNNNNNNNNNNNNNNNNNNNNNNNNNNNNNNNNNNNNNNNNNNNNNNNNNNNNNNNNNNNNNNNNNNNNNNNNNNNNNNNNNNNNNNNNNNNNNNNNNNNNNNNNNNNNNNNNNNNNNNNNNNNNNNNNNNNNNNNNNNNNNNNNNNNNNNNNNNNNNNNNNNNNNNNNNNNNNNNNNNNNNNNNNNNNNNNNNNNNNNNNNNNNNNNNNNNNNNNNNNNNNNNNNNNNNNNNNNNNNNNNNNNNNNNNNNNNNNNNNNNNNNNNNNNNNNNNNNNNNNNNNNNNNNNNNNNNNNNNNNNNNNNNNNNNNNNNNNNNNNNNNNNNNNNNNNNNNNNNNNNNNNNNNNNNNNNNNNNNNNNNNNNNUUAUUAUUAUUUUAUUUCUUUUCUUUUCUCUUUUUUUUUCUUCUUUUUCUUUUCUUUUCUUUUCUUUUUCUUCUUUUUCUUCUUUUUCUUUUCUUUUCUUUUCUUCUUCUUCUCUCGAGCUCCUUCCAGGCCGAACAGGGGUCCGGCAUGACCCUUCCUUGGGCCGGGCCGUUCAGGCCACGGUCGUCGCGGCAGAGACCGAUGGUAGAGGGGGGGGUCACUCCCCCGAUUCCGGAGGAGCAUGACCGGCGGUCGAUUGCGAUCGCCGGCGCCGGCAAAAUCCAAGAGAAAAGAGAUCGAAACAGGGAUCUCUUUUCUGACCAAGAAUCGGCGACUCCCGUCGCCGGCAGCCGCGCACAAAGGCACGGGAGAAAGGGGAAGGAAGAGAGGAAGAGAAAGGGAACUCACCUCGGCCUCCGAUGACCUCGUCGGUGAGCAGUCACGGCGAGAACAAGGCGGGUGUCCGCGGCUCUAAUUCAAAAAAAUCGGAGAGGAAGAGAGGGAAAAAGGACCGAUGAUCGGCUUCUAAGGAAAGGGGAGGUCUUCUUAUAGAGGGCCCUAGGACUUUGAGAGGUCCUAGGACUCCCAAUUUGCCCGGAUCUCGCCGGAGAAGAAGACUCCUAUCGGGAGUCUUCUUCUCGAUUUUUUUUCUAUUUUUUUUUUUUUGAAUGGGCUUGGGCUAUGACAUAAUAUUUAUCUAAACUGUUUAAAUACUCCUAGAGUUUAUCUACUCUUUUUUUUUUAAUAUUUUAACGUAUGCACAUAAGCACACACGUGGCCACCCAUCUUUUGAUGGAUGUUCUCGAAGUAUACCCAACCAUAAUUUCUUCCAUGAUCGGCCCGACUAUAGAAGUUUUAUCCCAAAUAUUAAUCAAGCCAUACUUGAGCUCAAGUUCAAAUUCGAAUUUAAAUCUUAACUUCCUAAUUAUAUAUAUAUAUUAUAAAUAAAAAUAAUUUGAUUAAAAAUAUAUAUGAACUCGAAUAAGCUUGUGAACUUUCAAACUGAAUAUCUUACUGCUGGAGCUCAAUUUGAAAAACUGUUUGAGAUCUUCGAGCUUGAUAAUAACCGAGUCGAGUCGAGUUCGAAUGGCUCGCAAGUACCACAACUUGUUUUGCACCUCUACAUAUAUCUAUAUAAAUUGAUACAUAGUUUUUAAAAUAUCGUAUUUACCGAUAUAUAGUGUGUGAUCAAAUAAUAUACACUUAGUAAUUUAAUGAUCUACUAAUCCAAUACAUACCUUUAAGCAAAUUAAUACAUAAUUUUUGAAACAUCAUGUUUACUAAUACACACUGCAGGGCCGAGUGAUACAUACUUAUCGACUUCUUGAUAUACCAGAAAUUUAUUUGAUACAUACUUAAUAGUGAUUUAAUAUACAUCUUUAGAAAAAUCAAUGUAUAGUUUUCAGAAUAUACUUUUUAUCAAGAGAUGUAUAUAGGAUCACUAUCGGAUAUGUAUCAAAGAACCUUGUGGUAUGCAUUAGGAACUUGACAUGUAUGUAUCACUUGGUUAUAUAGUGUAUACUGAUAAAUAUGAUGUUUCAAAAAUCAUGUAUCAAUUUAUUUGAAGGGUAUAUAUUAGGUUACUAGAUAACUAAUUUAUUAAGUACAUAUUAUUUAGCCAUACAUUAUGUAUCAAUGAACUUUAUAUUCUGUAAAUUAUGUACUUAUUUAUCUAUAGAUAUGUAUUGAUUUGCUUGAUGAUGAAAUUGCUUGGUGUAUAUCACUUGAUUAUAUAGUAUAUAUCGAUAAAAGUAUAUUUUGAAAAUAAAAAAGAAAGAGAAUGUCAUACUUUUUUUAAUCAAGAGACUGACAACUUAGUAUAAGAAGUUUUUAAUUUUAAGAUGGAUAUUAGAAAAAAUAUGGCAAAAUUGAAUGCCUGCACUCGGGGGUGGCAAUUUGUGUUCAUGUGUCAAAAUCGUGUCGAUACGAUUUUGACAUGAACACGAUUAUAGAGAAUACGAAUAUGAUACGAUUAAUAAAUAUGUCAGAAUUUUUCAACAUGUAUACAAAUUUGUUUAUUAAAUAUGUUACCUGUUUAGCACGAUUACUAAAUGUGUCAUGUCGGGUUAACAUGUUUACAUAACAUGUUUAAUACGAAUAAUCUAUUUUACAUAAAAUAUAUAUUUUUAAUGAAUAAAUUUGUUCUAAUAUGUGUAAACAAUAUAUUCUGCACAUAUAUAAACAACAACUAAGCAAAUUACAACUCACACAAAUAUCAUAUAAAUGUACAAUAAUAAUCAAGAUUAAAAAAUAUCAAUAAUAUAAUAUGCCAAUAAAGUACCAACUAUAAUAAAUAUCAAUAAUCUAAAUAAAGAUAUCAGCAACAAAGGAUGAGAGAGAGAGUUGAGUAUGGUGGCUGUAUAUGGGGUUGAUAUGUUUAUUUAGUUUUAUUUUAAGAUUUCUAAUAAAAAAAUAAAAAUAAUCAUUGAUUUUGUAGAAAAUUAUAAAAAAAUUAUAUAGGUUAAACAUAUCAUAAACGGAUUUACAGGUUAACAUGCGAUACGAUACAAAAUUCUUCAUGUCAUAAAUCGAUCGACACAAACUUGUAUAAGCCCAACACUAACACGAAUAUUUCAUGUCGUGUUGUAUGUUGUAUUGAAAAUUGCCAUCCCUAUUUGCUCCAUUUUUCCUUUUAUGGUGCUCGCCCCAUAUGAUUUUUGUGUGCAUGGUAUGAUCAUCCAUGCAUGGAAUCAAUCCGCUGAUUCUCAUGAUGAUGCAUUAUGUACAUACUUCAUGGAUGGGCCCCAACUCUUACUAGCUAUAUGCAUGAUCACAUGGUGCAUAUGGUGUAGACAAAAACUUUAGGUAAAUCCAAUCUGGGACAAACCAUACUCUACAUCAUAUGCACCAAUAUCAUUAUGCACUAUAUCAAUUAACUCAUCUUGUUCAUACGGUCUUUAUUUAUCAUAAGCUCAUCAUAGUGAUUGGUAGCUUAAAGUAUAGUAAUUUAAGAAUUAUUUUAGAGGAUCACAUUGUCUAAGUAGCAAUUUGUCACAUGAUUUUGGUAGGAUUUCAUCAUAUUAUUUGAAAUACAGAAAUUUGUGAUAAACAUUAUAAAAAAAGUACUCUAGACAUAGCAUCACAUUAUUUUAAUAGCAAUUACUUUUGGCAAAUAUUUUCUUCCAUGAGAAUAUAGAGGGUGGAAAUUAGGUAGUCUUUUGGAAUAGUUCAUCUGCUAUAUAUUAAGAAUAAUAAGAAAUACACAACAGGAUACAUCAGAUGUUUCAGUUCCAAUAAUACUUGUUAGACCUUAUGCCCAAAAAAAUAAAGAAUUAUAAGCCUUAGCUUAAACUUGCUACAACAUCCGAUAGGAAUACGUUUUUCCUUGCCACAUCACUUUAAUAGCAUUGUGUGCAAAUAAAUAAUGACAUGAAAUCACCGCUUACAACAGCAUUAUGUGCAAAGAGGCUAAGAAAAAGUUAGCGCAUUCAUGAAAGCAAUGGUUACAACCUCAUCAAAAUUUUCACCUUUCAACUAUGCAAAAAAAUGGGAAAGGAUCUUAUUGAAGUUCUGAGAUAAUACCUAAACAAAGAUUAUUGGAAUAGAUGAUGUGGCAAUUUUUUAUUGGAUGAUCCAAAGUCCAAAUGGUAGAAUGGUUCUAACCAAUAAUUUCUCUAGCAGUUUACCCUUCUCCAUUGAAAGAGAACCUUUGUUUACUUGAAUAACUUCCACCAUAUAAAGCAGUGACUGUCAUAAAUAUGUCUAAACUAAGAACUCUAUACAAUACAUAUUGCAGUAAAGCAAUAUUUUGAUACACAUUGAUGUGUUUCUUCUAAGUAACACCUAAAACACAUUGCAAUAAAGCAACUCUAAGCUACCUACUCAAGUCAAAGAAAUGACUAGUACUAGAUAGCAAACUUAGAAAGCCAUAUUUUGGAUUGCAUAAGUCAAUUAUGUUGAUAUAUAAUGCCAUUAAUUGUAGCACACACUUACUUUGACAUAGAAAACUAAUCUAUGGCUUGUAAAUUGAUGCAUAUCAAGGAACAUAAAUUCCAUGCUAAAGCUAGAGACCCAGUCACAAAGUGCCAGUUUAGAAAAAGGAACCAUGAUAAUUCAUUGUAGGUAUACAUGCUUGUGGGGACAUAGAAGUAGCAUCAAUAAGAUUAUUCACAAUAUCGAAUGAAAUAUUUUGAUCAUGAGAAAUGAGGGUUAAAAAUGGAUUGAAAAGGGCAAGGGUUACAACUUUGGGUAAAACAGCAAAAACUUGGCAGCAGAGGAUACAGUUAGUUGACCAUAAAGAUACCAAAUGGGAUCCCUUAUACCACAACACAUUGGAGACUCAAAGCACAUUUUACAUGUCAAAUCUCCAAAACCCCCUUUUCUGGCAAUAAAUUGCAAACCUUUUUUACAGCAAUGGUGACAUGCAGAGCUUUACAGAAACUUCUAUAGAAAGGUGAGAAAAUAUUACUUGCAACUGCAUACAUUAUGGAAGAUCCUCAUGCAGAGAAUGGCCCCAUGAUCCUACACACACACAAAAAAACCAAUGAACAAUAAAGCUUGAAUUAUAACUAAUCUGAUAAAAAAAAAAGGUACUUUCUGAUCAAAUUUGACAUAUACAAACUUUCUAAUUUGUCGCACUCAGUAUCUUAAUACAGUUAAUGAAUAUCCAACUAUAGUUCUGAGCUUAAAAGUCAAAUUUAACUCUCCUAAAAAGUUGAGGAAUUUUAUGCAUAAGGACAGACUUAGAGGCUUAUGAUAAGCUGGCAUAUGUAUUCGCAGAGUCAAAUAUAUCCUAUAAAGCAUCUAAGAAAUGAGCAGCUACUUAAUAUUUCUUCUAGGGGUAAGGAACAUAGACACUCUUAUCCAUUGCGGACAUCCAAAGAGUCAUGAAGAUAUUAUUUUAAAAAUUUUGAGGAGAUGACGUAAUAUCAGUUAAAAGAGCCAAUAUUGUUGGUAGUUACUAAAAUAUCCACCAUAGCAUUUAGCAUAUAGAAGUUCUACAAUUAGCAGUAACAGAGUAGAUGAUACAUGUUGGAGUAAUUCGAUCUGCUUCUCCAAUUCAUAGUCAGCCAACUGAUGAUCUAUCGGUUGCAGGUGAUGGACCAUCAAAGCUACACUAUAGGAUGAGUUUCACCCUAAUUACAACACAUCAUCUGACUUUCAAUCGGUUUAAUCGGCACAGAUUACAGACUAUCAACUGAUAAGUCGACUGACAGUCGGCAACUCUCAACCAAUUUUUUUGGCAGAUACAAUUUAACUAUAGUGACUCUACUGACUUCAAAAUCGAUGGUCAGUCGGUAUAUCAGAAUCUUCAACAGAUGGUCAUUCGAAUUUCUAUAAUUGCCAACAUACAGUUAGCGCACUCAGAUUAGGGACAUAAAGUUGGUAUAUUAGAAACUGUCAACGCAGGAAGUACAUAACGAUCACAUACCAUGAUCAAUAAUGGACAUUAACUACCCAUCCCAUGAUCAUAUAAUACCUGAACAAGUGAGACCUACGUGUCUAACCAUUACAAAUAGUUACCAACAACUCAUCUAUAAAAGAAAGGUAAAUGAACAGUAUUGAUAAGGUUCUUUUGGCCGGGCUAAUAUUUUACCACUUUGAAUAUUCUAUCUGCUGUUCACUACUCCCACUGAUUUAAGCAUCGGAGGAUUUUCGUCGGACACAAUUUCGAUCUGUGGACUUUUUUUGCAGGUUGUUCUUCGUUGGAGCUAAAUGCAAUAGAGGAUUGACCGCAACAAUACCCAUCUCCUUCAACAAAUAUAGACUGUAAUUGAAUUUAAAUAAAACAUAAUGAAGAGUUUUCUCGGAAGAUCCUGUCAUUGAUAAUAUGUUUUGUACUAAAAUUACUUUCAAAAGUAAAAAGGGACAUAAGAAUGGUAAAAACAAGUGACAUAUCAAGUUAAAAUGAAACUUAACAAUGGAAGUUGGCUACAUGGGUAGAAACAAUUACAAAUGAAAAAAAAAAAAAGACACCAGAUUUAGUGGCAGUAUUUGUAAUCUGGUGAACAGAGCCCAUGAUCUUUGCCCCGAGUGAUUGACUAAUUUUUAUGAACAAAGCAGAGCCAAAGAGAGCAGCCACCGUUACUAAAGCAAUAUAAGCAUCUUGUUAGUAAUAAUAGAUUGUCAAUUAAUCAACCAGACAAAAUUGUGAAAGUGAAACAUAGUUGGUAAAAGGACAAAAGCAUAUGUAAGAAGCCAUAACCAUUUGCUAAGGAAUGGAGCAAUAACUUUAUUUGCUGCAAUUUAUCCUUUCUACCUUUAAUAAGGAGAUUAUAAGAAUUUUUCCUUCACAUUUGGCAUCGAAGAUCCUCCAGCUGCAGAUUGUUGGUUAGCCAUCCAUCUUUGGAUCUCUAAAUGCAGCUUGGGUGUCCAAUAAAACAGCUACACCUUUACAUUGUAAACGAUGAAGGAUGACUAAUAAAAUAAUUAGAGCCUAUCUCCUUCUGGAGUCCAAAUAAUAAUGGUAGCACUUUAGUUCAACACAUUUUUAGUACACCAUUUCACUUAAUAAUUGGUCAAACUCAUAGCUCAAUUAUGACUUGUCUUGUUAUGCUGGGUCAGAAAAAUCUAAUUUAGCUCAACUCUCGAGUCAAAUUUCAGGAUAAUUUUAAUGUUGAAUUUAGGAUUCUAGAUGAAUAUCAAAUUCCUUCAAUGCAAACUCAUUUUGCAUGCAUGGCAACAAAAGGUAUUAUCAGAUUUGAAUAUUAAAAUUUGAAAUCGAGUUGAAAUAAAUUUGAAUGUAUUACAUAUCUUCUAUCACAGCAGCAUUAUAAUCUCAGCUUUUAUCCUAACUCAAAUUCUAAUCCUAAUUAAAGUCUCGCAACAAUCAUAAUGUUGAACCUUAUCUAAGUUAGACGUGCCAAUAGCUUGCAUUACAAAUUUAAUGAUCAUCUUACCCUCAUGCUCAAAGUGGAAAUAAAGCAAGUCCAACAAGCAUAACAUCAUUUAAAUUCCAUGAAACAACGCCAGUUUCAAAUAACACAUUGAGAUACAUAGCAUAACCAUAAAGUGCACUCGAGGGCUCACACUUCAUGCCAUAGGUGAAAAACCACCAUACUUCUUUGAUUUGAUCUUUUAUUGCAUGCACUCCUUGGGGUCCCAUCAUGCACCACUAUAAAAAGAUGUGUAAGAUGAUGUUAUUUUAUUUUUGUAUUCUUUUUGAACAAGCACGUUUGGGCCGCCACCUUCGAAGAUCUAAUCUCCAUCCUAUUUGCUAGAGAUGAUAAUAACAAUUAGUUGAUCUUAGGCUUGUUGGCUAAAAACAAACAAUCUAUAUCUCUCAAAAUUUGAUAAUCUUAAUUAUCUAUGUUGAUAGAAUAAUUGUGAACAAAAAUCAAAUUGUGUAGAUCAAUCAUAUAAUGAUAAAUUAAGAAACAAAUAUAUCUGAGAGACAAAUAUAGUGGUACAUCAUUAUGAUUAGAGCAUAAAAUUCUGUGAGAUCUAAUCUAGGCAUUUUAUUAGCAGUUUGUUUAUCCUCAUUAAAAUUGUUUGACUCUUACAGUAUAUCAUUUACUAAUGUCAAGAAUUAUCCAUGAUAAAUAACAAGCUCUAUCACUCCGUAAGUUUUUGGUAGCGGAUGCUAUGUAUAUAUGCAGACUAGGUUUGUGAGGAUGGCUCAUAACAAAUAAUCCUGUAACCUUUUAAAAGUCAUCGCUUUUUAACCUUUUCCUACACUCAUCCAAAGAUAAAAUUCAAAGAGAAAAAACUCCUUAAGUCUCUGUUCUAUCUACUUUAGAGUAAGUAAAGGAGAUCGCGACUAGAUUAUGAGAAAGAUAAGGUGGUGAGCGGAUGGAGGCUAGACUCAUAUCUUGAGAUGAUGCGACUACAUGCAUGAGGAUCUCGUGAACUUCCGACAAUGAUGUAAGUCCGUUCAUUUCAUCCAUUUACAGCACAUCAAUUUAUGAGAAUUUUUAUGCUUCUGUUUCUUGUAUUAUGAUUUCUAAACAUUCCAUUUUAAUCCAAUAAAUCAAACCAGCCAAAACAAACAAACUCUACCUCCAAACAAGGCCUACCAUCCACAAAUAUCCCUUGUUUCCCCCUCUAUAACAACCCAUCCCGCCUCUCCCACCCCCAUCCCCUUUAAGCUGCCUUGGGCUCUCCAAGGGUGGUGCUCCUCCUCAAACUACCCAACAUGGAGGCCUUUGGCCGCGCUAUACCCCUCAUCUUUCUCCUCCUUUUCUCCUUAUCCCUUAUCCUAAUUCCAUCCUUGGCCCUCUCUAAUGCCGAAGCUGCCUUCAUUACCCGCCGCCAGCUUCUUGCCCUUCCAGAGAAUGGGGACCUCCCCGAUGACUUCGAGUUCGAUAUCAAGAUUGGCAUCCACUUCGCCAACCCUCACCUUCGUCGUGCCUACAUCGCCCUUCAAGCAUGGAAGCAUGCCAUAUAUUCAGACCCGCUCAACUUCACCAACAAUUGGGUUGGCCCUGAAGUCUGCACCUAUAAUGGCGUCUUUUGCUCUCAGGCUCUCGAUGAUCCAAAUGUCACUGUUGUCGCUGGUGUCGACCUCAAUGGUGCCGACAUAGCUGGCUAUCUUCCCGUCGAGCUUGGCCUCCUGACCGAUAUUGCGAUCUUCCAUAUUAACUCUAAUCGCUUCUGCGGCAUCAUUCCCAAGAGCUUCUCCCGUCUCACUCUCCUCCACGAGCUUGAUGUCAGUAAUAAUCGCUUUGUUGGGUCCUUCCCAAUGGUUGUCAUCGGCUUGCCCAAUCUCAAAUACCUCGAUCUCCGGUUCAAUGACUUCGAGGGCCCCCUUCCACCUGAGCUCUUUGACAAGGAGCUUGAUGCCAUCUUCGUCAAUGACAACCGCUUCAACUCUCAUAUCCCUGAAAACUUUGGUAACUCAACAGCCUCUGUCAUCGUGCUUGCUAACAACAAACUUGGAGGGUGUGUUCCAACAAGUGUUGGAAGAAUGGGAGCUACUCUUAAUGAAAUGAUCUUGAUGAACAAUGCACUUGUUGGCUGCUUACCAUGGGAGAUUGGAUCAUUGGGCAAUGCAACAGUAUUUGAUGCUAGCUGGAACUCAUUAAUCGGAGUGCUGCCAAAAAACUUUGCUGGGUUGGUGAAAGUCGAAGAGUUGGAUUUGUCACAUAACAUACUCACUGGUGUCGUGUCAGAGAGUCUUUGCCGGCUACCAAGCCUCGUCAACUUCACAUUCUCGUAUAACUUUUUCAAGGGUGCGGCUGAGGAAUGCAUGUCAGGUUCGAGAUCAGAUACUGUAUUCGAUGACAUUAACAAUUGCCUUUUCAAGAGGCCAAAGCAAAAGUCGGCAAGGAUGUGUGCCCCCAUAGUAAAUCGUCCUGUGGAUUGUAGCCGAUCCAAGUGUAGAGCUUCUCCUGGCCCUUCGAAGCCAUCACCAUCUCGAAGCCCAGUGAAGUCGUCACCAUCUCCAAGGCCGGUGAAGCCAUCACCAUCUCCAAGGCCAAUGAAGCCAUCACCAUCUCCAAAGCCGGUGAAGCCAUCGCCAUCUCCAAAGCCAAUUACGCCAAUGCAUUCUCCUAUUAGCUCACCACCACCAGUUCAACCACGACCCUCACCAUCUCCGGUGUACUCUCCUCCAUCUCUGUCACCGAGUGACGCUCCUGCGACUCUAGUGAACUCUCCUUCCCCACCACUUUUGGUGCUUUCACCACCUCCACCACAUCAUAAGGAGGCUCCUGAUACACGUGUUCACUUACCACCAUCAGUUCAAUUUUCUCCACCUCCAACAACAAUAGGUUCACCACCGCCACAAGAGUUUUUCCAGUCUCCUCCAACACGAUCACCACCCUCUCCAGUGGUCCAAUCACCACCUUCUCAUAUCUUCUCUCCGCAUCCUCCAGCCUCCUCGCCACCUCUAAAGAGCUCACCACCCCCACUACUCAUCCAUUCUCCACCUCCUCCAGUCUAUUCACCACCACCUCCACCGAUCUUCUCACCGCCACCUCCAGUUUCCUCACCACCUCCACCAGUGGUCUAUUAUCCACCCCCUCCAGUCCACUCACCACCACCGCCGGUAGCAUCACCACCACCGUCGAUACACUCUCCCCCACCACGGGUGCACUCANNNNNNNNNNNNNNNNNNNNCCACCUCCAAUGGCUUCUCCACCACCAGUACUUAUUUUCUCUCCACCAGUCUCUUCACCACCACCUCCACUAGUCUUCUCACCACCCCCUUCAGUUUUCUCACCACCUCCACCAGUGGUCCAUUUUCCACCCCCUCUAGUCCACUCGCCACCACCACCGGUUGCAUCACCACCACCGCUGAUACACUCUCCCCCACCACCGGUGCACUCACCCCCACCUCCAGUGGCUUCCCCACCACCGGUACUUGUUUUCUCUCCACCUCCACCUCCACCUAUAUUCUCACCACCACCCCCAAUUUUAUCUCCUCCCACCCCCAUCAAUGUUCCACCACCUCAAGAUGACUUCAUCCUCGCACCUAUUGGUGGAACAAGCUAUGCAUCACCACCACCCCCCAUUUACCAAGGCUACAAUUAAAUCUAGUUAGUCCUUCAUUCUCCAAGAAAUACCCACCUCUCUUAGAAAAGUUUUAGAGGAAGCCCAUCUAUUUUCCAUAAUUUGCCAUGCUACAAAGAUGUACUUGUUUUUACUUUCUCAUAUGUGGUCUUGCAAAAGAGGGGCAUGAGAAGCAACAGCUUGUAAAUCUAUCUUAUGUUCAUUUAAAGGAUUUCUUUUUAAAAGUUUGUAUGUACUUUGGAAAAUAUAGGUGAUUAUGAAUUUGAUUGAUGUUUUAAGAGGAGGAUAUUUUUGAGUACAAGCUCUAAUAAACUUCUCUCUCUCUCUCUCUCUCUCUCAUACACACACACACACACAUACAUAUAUGUAUCGAUCUUCCCUUUAUAAUUACUUUAGAUAACCUUUACUUUGUCAUGUAUGCAUACAUAUUGUGUUUAAAUAAUGGAUCGAUGAUAAUAUAUAUACGAAAUUAUUAUACCUGAUAAGAGGCCAAUCAGAGCAAAUAUGGGGAUAGAAGCAAAUAGAAUGAGGCAAGCACUUUAAACAUGGCUAAGAUAACAAUAUGAUAUUGCUACCUUUAUUGCAUUAGUACGAAUUACUCAAAAGUUGUUAUAUAUGUUCCUUACCAAAAAAAAUGUUGUUAUGUUCUUGGCAAAAUUCAAAUGUUAUGUUCUUGGCAAAAUUCAAAUGUUGUUAUGUUAUAUAUGUUCCUUACCAAGAAGUUACUUUUCUAGAAUUGUUGCAAAAACACAUUUAAGAUCAAAGUCAACAAGUGUCAGCUAAUACCCAGUUAGUGGAGAUUUCAUCUCAAUGGGCAUCAAAAAUUAACCACUUAUAAUCACAAUUUGUCUUAAGAACCUUUGGUUGAAUGUGCAUGGACAUUGAGCACAACAUAAUUAAAGAAUCCAUGAUGAUGAUUUUCAUUUAUUAAAUGCAAUAUCCCAUUCAUGAUAAGCCCCAAAUUGAAAGCUUCAAUCUGAUCUUUCUCCAAGGCAACCAAGAAGAUUCAUGAUCCAAUCUCCUGUGACAUGGAAAGAGAUCCACAUAAGAUUCUCUUGCCAAUUCCAACAUAUUGGUUUCAAAGCCAUUUUAUAUACAUAUGAAUGUAUGAUCAAAUGAAAAGUAACUUCAUUGAUCAUCAAAUGAAUGGUGACUAUCAUCAAUAUUUAGCCCUUUGAUGAACAAAAUCUAGCAUGUAGACUAUCUUCUUGUAUAAAGUAAUAUGUUAACUUAAAGCAUCUACAAUACUUCCUCUUUGAUGAUGUCCUUUAGAAGCAUAAAUAGAUGCAAGUUUUGUCAAAUUUUCAAUCUGUGUUGCACCAAGAACCUUUCUUUUAUAUCAUCAUCAAAUAUUGCAAACUACGUUUCCAAAGUUACAACCAUUUCUAGUAGCCAAGGAUCACGCUUUUCAACUCCAUAAGUAGAGGUGAACGAGGUAGUUCCCUCCCUACAAACAUGUGAAUGUCGUAUUGGUUUAAGGGAGCCGAUCAUAGUUCCUUUGUUGAUCACACUUUUCUUUUUCUUAUGCAUAACAAUCAUAUUUGCAAUGCAAACCCCCCACCCACAAAAAAAAAAAAACCAUAUUUGCUAGUAUUACAUGUAGGUGGUAGAUUCUUGUAGAUGUUCACUCUAUGAUGUUCCUAUCCAUUUAGUUUUGAAACUAUAUAUCUUUUUUCUUUUUUUUUAGGUAAAAAAACUAUAUACAUCUUUGAUACAUAAAGUUUCACAGAAUUGCUUGCCUAUGCAAUUUUAUGAAGUACCUUAAGAGGAAGACAUGGAUGAGAGGGUCAUGCAUAGAUGUAUAAGGAAGGAUUUCUAAAAGAAAGGAAAUAAAAAUAUUUCCACCUUGAUCUAUAAAAAGUGAGCCCUCCUUUGAUGCCUUUAACACGAGGAUGGUCUUGAAGGCCCCCAACUUAUUGCAUCAUUUGGUCCAAGGUAACUCCAAUGCAUCACAAUAAAUAACUAUUUCAUAUAAUAUAUCAUAUAUUGUGUUAUAAAUGGAUCCAAUAAUAAUCUUUUAGCUUGACUUCAAUUCAUAAAUAUUUCUUUUCAAUCCUGUUUUCAGAUUUUAUAAGAGUACACGUACCAACAACCUCCUAAAAACUACCACCACCUUGCUACAAGCUUAUUUUUCUCUAUCAUAGUAAAGUUACCUGAUUCAUAACCUACCAAUUUAACUAUCAUUCAUGGUCCGUGUGAAGGAUUUUAAAUAGAUUGCGACGAAAUGUAACAUUAGUCAAAUAUGAUUAAAUUUUUCGAUGUUAGAUUUUCCUUGAUAUACUUAUAAUGAUUGAGCCAAUAAAUUAUAGAAGUGCUGGGGGCUACAGUUGUACGUACUUCCAAUAAUAAUAUUAUUAUCUUCCAGCUAAUGACAUGAAAAUUUGUGUAACAUCUGCACUAUUAAAACCUCAACUGAGUUGCGAACAACGUUUAUUUUUGAAGAACCAUGAUGUAGGAUAUAGCCAGUCCAAAAUAGUGGGGAGGGCCAAGGUUAAAACCAUGUCGCUCAUAUCUAUUAUUUACUAUAUAGUGACUUUGCCAACUCAAACAGAUGACAUACUUCCCAAUCAUUUCACAAACUUUUAUCCUGGUCUGAAUCAAGUCCUACGAAGCUAGUUAACCAUAGAGAACUUUAUGUACUAAAAAAAAUAAAAAUACUAGGCGUUCCAGCUGGACUUAGUUGAUCAACAUGAUGCUCAAUGGAUGAAAUGUUUUGGGAUCUGUCUAGACUAGCAAUUUUUUUUUUUUUGAGUUAAUUUUUUUCUUUUUUUGUUGAUUCGCUGAGCGACUGUAAGAUUGGUUGGACUUUGAUAUCCCAUCUUUUUGCCCUUCUUCUUUUCCUCUUCUUUUUUUCUUCUCUCUUCUUUUUUUUUUCUGACUUUUUUUCUUGACUUAAGUUUCACUAUUUUGCUAAAAAAUAUAUAAGUAUUGUUCCGUUAAUUUUUGAAAAUAAACUUUAAAUAUUGAGAGGGAUUUUAUUAUAAUGAUAGAUUGAAUGUAGAAACAAAUGAAGAUAGCUGUUAUGCAGCUAUUUGCAUGACUUCAGAGAGUAAUGUAUUUCUAUAAAUAUUAGAUAUAUCUAUUACGAGAUAAAUAAUAUUAUGAAUUGGAUUAUCAUUUUUGUAGCAGAGCAUUCAAUAAGAAUUUUGUGAACUGAUGUUUUGGUUGUGCUGAUCUGUGGUAUCCUCAUUUAUCAAGUUUUUUUGAUUAUAUUUAUAUUAGUUUUGUAUGGAUGCUCUCUAAAAAUUUUUUUUAACAAUAGAGGAGAUUGUAUAUUUAUUUAUGGCCGCUAAAAAAAUGCCACGUGUCCCAAUCGUAUAAUUCCCUGCAACGUAGCUUGCAGUCGAUUGCGACUCCUCCCGUUUCCUCUUUUUGUUCAUGGGGUUUGGGCAUGGGACCGAAGGUGGGGCGAUGGAAGAAGACGACACCGAGAUCCAGCGACGCGUGCUCGAAGAAGCUUUCGGAGAAUCUUCGGACGACGAUGGUCCAGCCUGUUCGGCCGCGGAUCCCUCCCUCUCGGUUCGUGGAUCCUUCCCCCUCUCGCUUCUCCCCCUCUCCGCCCCUAUUUUUCCCUUUCUUCUUGUUGAACUCGAUCCAUAAAUGCCACAGAGACAGCCUAUUUGGGAAUCGGUGGCUGGUAUCAAGGGUUUGUGGCUGUGCCGGGACUUCCUUUGGAUAAAGCAGCAAUCUUUGCUUCUAUCGGCGAUUGAACGAGGUGGAACUCUCGUUAAUAGCCUUCUUUUUCCCUCAAUAUUCCACUGUUUUGUUUGUUUAGCCCUAUUGUUGAAUUCUGACUAAUGAAUAAUAAAAGAAGAAUUUUGAAGCCAAGAUUGUAGCAUUAAUUUUAAAAGUUCUUCAUUUUUUUUUUUCUAAUCUCUGAAAUAUCUCCAUGUUCUUCUUUUUUGAUGUUGCAGAAGGAUGGUUCUCAGAUAAUUCUCAUAAUCAGGUGCUGUUUAUCAUUCAUUUAAUUAAUUGACUUUUACUUCAGUGUUAGCAAUGUCUUGGUAGAAAAUUCUGCGAUUGUUAUUUCUCUUAUUUGGAUUAUUGUGGAUACGUGUGACAAUAAUGUAACUAAUAAGCAUUAUCCGAACUCUUCGGCGUUGGUAUUUACUCUCCGAGUUCUUCUUAUCAAGGGAGAUCUUUGAGCUUUCAUUUAUGUUAGUUGCAGUCUUCCUCUCCCUUAUCUGAACCCUCUGGCAAUUUGAGUGCCUUUCCAAUAGGGGCCUCCUCUGGUCAUCUUUGUUGUACAUGACUGUAUCAUCUUAAUGAGUUCAUCAAUUUGUCCUUAACUAGUACAAUUUCUAUGCUACAUUUACAUUUUUCCAAGUUAUUCGUCCACUUGUUUUUGUUUCUUCUACUCACAUGCAUACAUUAACAUGUAUAGGGUAUUAAAGAAUUGCUUGUCGCUGUCGCUGCCACUGAUCACCAAGAGUUAGCUGGUCUUUCUUCUUGAUGGCAUUCGUGCAGUGUUAUGUUGCUCUCCACUUUCUGCUGUUGGUGGUUUACGAAUUUAUGUUUUUGGUGACUAUCUCUACAAUCUGGGGCUUCUUUUUCUUUUGCUUAAAGUAACAUGGUUGAUGUGGACUUUAACUGUGAAAAAUAGCGAUAGAAUGUGGAAGUAAAUUUGAGAAUUCCCUAGGAUACAAUGACAUUGAGAAAGAGAGAGAGGGAGUUUGUGAGAAGAAUUCAUUUUGGAGCUUUUUCUUAAUUGAUGCAUUAAUAGGCCAUUUAUUUGCAUCCAGACUACUUUUCUGGCCAAUACUUUGUUGGUUUUUCUGCCAUUCGGUUCUAUGCUUGGUUUAGCUCUUUCUGUAUACUGGUUUCCUUCACCCAAGUGUUUAGCAUUGCAGUACUUUGGCACCUGCUGGUCAUUGUGUCAGUGUCUAUACUUUGGUAUUCAACUGGACGAUGCUGGUGAUGAGUACAAAUGCUUCUUAUUACGAAGAUUUAUAUUUCCAAAGUCCUGAUCGAUACUUGUUGCUCUUUAUCCCAAAAUGAGCCUUCAGUUUAGGGAUCUUUAGGGACCACCAUCAUACCGAGUAGUUUGUAGGGAAGACAUACUUCAACCAUGCCCUAAAUAGCAAGGUUUUUUUUUUUAAAAAAAUUGUAGCACUACUUUGAGAUGUCACACACACACACACAUAUAUAUUCUCUGUCAUAAUUCUUUUGUAGGCUAUGACAGAGAGAGAGAGAGAGAUUCUCUUUCUUAAAAGAAGAGAUUUGGGGACCUUCCAGAAUGGGCGACUGAACUUACUAGAUUAGUUCGUGAAACACAUGCACGUGCGCACACAUAUAUAUAAUAUAUAUCUUGCUCUAAAUUAAUUUUAAAGAUCAUCAUAAUCUUGUCAGGGGCAUAAUGUAGUUAAAGUCAGUCAUAUAACUAAUCAAUGGACUGUGAUUGCUCGAUCUGUAUAAGUUCUCCCUUGUAAAUCUAACUUCUCUGCCUUAUAAUUCUUUUAUAGGCUAUGAGAUUUGGGGACCUUCCAGAAUGGGCAACUGAACUUGCUAGAUUAGUUCGUGAAGCAGCUUGCUUUGGUGAAGUAUCUUUUGAGGCUAGCAGAGGGUCAAAUUCUGAAGAUCAGGAUGCUGAAGAAACUUGUCCUCUGCCAUUAAAUUUGUUGUGGAGAGAACCACUUUUUGAUCAACUUAUUGCAAAUGUGUAUGAACCAGGUGAGGUGCGGCCAUAUUUCCUUUCUACUUACACUCUUUUCGUGUGUUACUUUCCAUUGUUUGUUUCUCUAAAUAAUCCUUUGAUAAUGACGUUUUGCCGUUCUCUGAGUAUGCUUUGUACUUUUAUCUUUCAGAGUUCAUGAGUUAUCAUCUUGUUGUCUACUUAACUAUGAUGAUUUAUGUGUCCAUAUUUCUUCUUCCAGGGUGAGGAUAUGUUAUAUUGUUCUGGCUUAUUGCUACUUUUCUCUGCAGCCUAAUGUAUCUCUUUAAGGAAGUGCUUGUUUAUUCAUGCAUGAAUUUCUUGUAUAUAUAUUAUAUUUAGUUAACUUAUCCAGCAUCAGCCCUUAUGACUGGUCUUCUUGCAGAUUUCAAAAUUUUCUGUUACACCUGACAUUCUAAUUUUAGAUGAUAUGAAUUUUGCUCCUAUUCCUUUUUCCCUGAUCACCUUUUGUUUCCAAACCAACCUUCACAAAGUCCAUGUAGAUCCCUCAACUGGGACAUUUUCUUGAACUUACCGUUAGCACUCCAUGAAGGCAAGUGCUGCAUGUGUUUCAUUCAGAUGCUAUUACAUCUUUAGUGUUUGUGCAUGUGAUAUUUUAAGCCCUCCAGUAUAAUAACUUCUGCCAUGCUCCAGAAUUUUACCAUGCAUUUGAUUCGCACCUGGAAUUGGAAUCAGGAUGGAUUGGAAUGAUGAUAUCCCUUGGUAUGUUUGAUUCAUGACCAGAAUCGGAAUCGCAAUGGGAUUUGAAUAUUAGGAAAGUGUAAAGAUUGGAUAUUGGGGGAUUGAGGCAUUCCCAUUUCCUCCAAAAGCAAAAUGGGAAUGGGACUCAACCGAAUAGCUGGAAUGUGAGUCAUGCAUUCUCAUUCCUAUUCCAAUUCUAAAGUUCAACUCCCCCCAACCAACAUGCCAUAAAAUCAGUCUAAGGAACAUUUUCCUGUCGCAUUAAUCAGUCCAUGGUCCCCAUAAACCCGACUUUAAGGACCUCAAGGAGACCAAGCUAACAGCCGCUAAAAGGUUCACAUCUAGGAUGAAAAAGCAACUAAAGUUUUCAUUGGAGAGUCUCAUGGUGAUCUUCUGUGAAAUAUAGUGUGUACAGUAAAUUUGUAUGUCAUGUCACUUGAGGGACAGAGCUAUCCUUGAUCAAAAACAUUGCAGAUAUUCUACAGUUUUUCUUUAUGCCUGUUGAUCCUAAAGUUAGUCCAGUGCACGGCAUGAUCGACCUGGAAUAUCUUUGUUGAUGUAUGUGCAUGAUAGCUUGAAAAGCAGAUAAAAAAAGAUGAACAUAUUUUUUUUCGCAUACCUUGAAAUUAUCAUCCUGACAUGAUUUACAAGAACUGGACUUGAUUCACAUCUCGUUAAGGUUAUGUGCAAAAGAUUAAGAAGUCCAGACGAGAAGGUUGUGUUAACCUUGUCCAUCCUCUUAUAAUUGCAGAAGUUGGUUCUUAAUUUUUAUUGUUCUUUCUGAUAAGGAUGCUUUUUGUUGUUCACUUCAUCUCAACAAGUCCAUCUCAUUGUAUCUUAUGAUCGAAGGAAAUAGCGAGUUCCCUUUCCUUUUGUUUUCAUUCAAUUUCCACUGGUGGGCAUUUGAUCCUUUUCAUUUAUGCAGGGAAUUUGUGCGCAUGUGGAUUUGAUGCGCUUUGAGGAUGGAAUUGCCAUUGUUUCCUUAGAAUCUGCUUGUGUGAUGCAUUUUACACAAUGUAAAGGGGGAGAUGGUAAUGCUGAGCUUCAAGGGGAAGAGACUUCUUCAAUGAGGAUUCCCAUCUUAUUAAGUCCAGGCUCCUUAGUUCUUAUGUCUGGGGAAGCACGUUAUCUUUGGAAGCAUGAGAUAAACCGCAAACCAGGGUAUCAGUUGUGGGAAGGGAAAGAAAUUCAUCAGAAGAGGAGGACUUCCGUAACUCUAAGAAAGCUCUGCAAAUCACCCAACUAAAGCUAAUGGAAGGACAUCUAUCUGUUAGUUUCUUUCACCUAUCCAUUUGAUUUUAACCUGGAUUCCAGGUUCAAACGCUUUAGAUUACUGUAAAUGAGCGGCGCAAAUCGCAGCUUUAGCCUUGGUUUUCAGUGUCUGUACAAUGAAUGGCAGCUUCAGUUGUGGGAAGGGAGUGAAGACACUGUUGCAGCGGUUGCAAAUGCCACCAGUUUCAAGUUGUCACAAAAAGGAACGUUCUAUUGCAAGCAAAUCAAAGUGGUUGGUUUCUUGAAACUCUGGUGAUCUGUUAAUUUGAGGGUCACAUCUUAAAUUUGCUCCAGUCUUAUUAUCAAAUUCCUUGGGAAUUAAAUGGCGUAUUUAGCUAGCUAGCCACCUUGCUUGCUUGUUUGACUUAUAUUUACACUCUUUUUUUUGGAUCAAUCCCAUUGUACAAGUUUAAUAGGAUACAAACAACACAAAAAUAGCAUGCAAAUGUAUUUGAAAUCUUUCCUUCCCUCAAAGAAAAAAAAAGAAAAAAAAGAAUAUUUCCAAAUUUGGCUGCUAAAACCUUGCCAAGAAUCGCUGGUUGCCAGUGGUAUUCCCAUGGUUUAAGUUAACGUAGAUGAAUUGUUGCUUACUCUUAAGUGAUUGAUCAUAAGAAACGAUGCCCAGGGUAGAUUGCAAGGUAUUUGGAACAAGAUAUCUUCAAAACGCUCUGAGGCGUCCACUAUUUGGUUAAUGCAAGGUGUUUGUUUUCAGCAAGCUUUGGGUUGCUCCGGGACUCGCUCGUAUGAGCUCUCUGUUGGAAGAUGUAUUUAAGGCAGAUUUUUGUGAGCGAUCAUGCAAGUACUCAAAAGUGUAUCAGCUUUGAGAGAUGAUGGUUGAUGUCUACCUAUAAAGAAAAUAAAGAUCGGAAAUAAAAUGACAAAUAAAAUGAGAGGAGGUACAGAAGUAAUUACCACUUGGGUUUCCCAACCAAGGCUUUUGGUUCUAUCUAUUCUCUUUCAAUGAUACAAGGAUAGAUCUAUGCUAGUUUUACACAAAGGACUUUCUUUGCUGAUAAUGUGUGAGGAUGUUCGGCACCAUGGUCCAGCUUUACCUAGAUUCAUCCUAAUCUGCUUCUAAUUAGAUGCCAAAGAGCCAGAACUCUGAAUACAAUAUAUUGCCUCCUCUCUCUCUCUCUCUCUCUAGGGGGGGGGAAAGGAACAGAAAUCUGCUUCUCAUUUGAUAGGCCAAAGCAGAUCUCCUUCAGAUUUGGGCAUGGUAAGAAGGGCCAAACCAUAAUUUUGGACCCUUUUUUUUAAAAAUUUUUUUUAAUAACUAAGUUGAGGUGGACCCUAUUUCGCCUGAGGUACAUACCCACCCUUAUUAAAACAUGAGCCUACACUUUGGGGCCAUGUUAAUAUGGUCUCAAACAAAAUAACCAUUCAAGAAAAAUUAAUAAGGAUCAACUAUUCAAACUUUAGACAUUGGCUAAUGGCUAAAAGCUGUCCACAACAUCACAUGCCUUUCAAGACAAGUUUUGGUGCACAUUAUAGGUUUCCUAAUUAUAAUUAAAAAAAGGAAAUGAGCAGAUCCAGAACCUUAGAUACAUCUUAAUAAGCUAUGAAAACUAUGUAUAAAAGAUCCAGCAAAUAGCGUACACAGAGCCAAACUUCACACAAGCGUGUAGUUGAACAAUGCAAGGAAGGAAACCCAGGCGAGGCAUGGCUUCACGAGGUCGCCGGCGAUGGGAUUCACCCGGUGGAAGCUCUGAGAGCAAGCGAAGAGGGCGCCAAAGAGGGUGAUGCAGACCACCAGGGCCACCCGGGUGGCGCCGAGCCGGAAAACCAGAGGGCCCCAGGCCAGGCCCAAUAAUAACUGCGUCAGGAAGAGGGGCAGGGUGGUGGGUUGGGAGUGGAAGCCGCCCUCGGCCCACACGAGCCAGGCCGAGAGGCCCAUGAGGCAGGAGGUGGAGAUGGAGGCCAGGUGGAAGGCCCAGACUGGGGGGUGCCAGAAGGCCUUCGAGACGGCGGUGGUGGUGGCGGUGCCAGAGGCGGAGGCCGAUAAGGUGGUGAGGACGAAAGGUAUGGCAAUGGCGACAGCCAGGGAGCGGAGGCCUUGCUUGGCAAUGGCCAUCUUUUGGGCCUUUCUAUUCUUGGUGGUGGUGGUGGAAGGGGUGGAGGUAGUGGCGGCGGGCUCAUCCCUGGGGCGGUGUGUGAGGUUCUGGGAGGCCAUGGGAGGGAGGGUGAAAAGGAGAGAAGGGGAAGUGGGAGAAGGGGUCAUGGGGACCAUGUUAUAAAGAAGCUGGUUUUACUCUGGGGGUGACAGGUGUGAGGGCGUGGGACGGUGAAGGGUGGCACGUGUAAGGAUGGUUGCCAACGAGGCAUGGAUGGAUUUGGUCCAACUCUCUGAGAUAGCGAUAAGGGUUAGCAGCCAUCCCCCAUCGUCUGGAAGGUUCUCUUUUUCGAGUUAAAGACAUGCUGGUGAAAAAUGAACAGGGUUCAUCUACGUCUUAUCAGGGAAUAUUAUAAACCUAAGCUAUGGCAAAUGAUCACCCGAUCAGUUCGUCUAUUAUUACACAUGGCGGAAACGUGUCAUGCAAAGUGAUUCCCUGACGUGACACUAGGAAUAGAAUUAGAUGCUUGUCGUGCCAUUAGUUCGUAUACAAUUAUGAGACUUCUAAGUUGCAGGGACGACAUGUGGGUGAGAGGGAAAGCCAAGGAGUGCCCUUGGAGUUGCACAUUAUAGAUGUGUAAGGGUUCACCAAUUUUUUUGAUAAAUCAGACAAAAUAAAUCAAAUAAAAAUAAAUAUAUCCAUCUUAUUCUAAACAUACAAAAAAAAUAUUUUUAUUUUUAAUAAAAUUAUGAUAUUUUAUGUCUAUAUUAUGACAUCUUGCAUCCAGAAAGUUAUAAUUUUUGUCUACAGGAUAUCAUAAUAUAAUGCAGGAUGCCAUACUAUGUACGGAAUAUUAUAAUUUUUUUUAAAAAUAAAAUAUUUUCAUCAUUUAAAAUUUUUAAAUUAAAAAAUCGAUCUGCAGGCAUUAAAUAUGCGUUGGAAAGUGGUCAGACAAAAAUAUCCCUUCUAUAUUAUGAUAUCCUGAACCAUAUUAUGAUAUUCUGGAUUAUAAUACGUCACAAAAUGUCAUAAUUUUUUCAAAAAAUAGAGAUAUUUUCAUCAUAUAAAAUUUUUAAACGAAAAAACCAAUGUACUGAUAUUAAAUGUGCAUCGGAAGGAGAUGAUUUUGUGGAUCAAUCGGACAAAAUAAUGCGCUCCAUGACAUAUUUUUUACACCGCCCGCAGUGCACAAAGAAUUCCUCUCUUUUAUAUGUUGUGGGAAGUCUAUCAAAAAAGUGGAGGAAAGUAAUGGAACUUUAUACACCAAAUAGCUUGUUUUUUUUUUGGUUUUUUCAUAAGGAGCAAAUAGCUUGUUUGAUGAUUGCUUAUGGAACAUAGGCAUAUAGCCAACUUAAUUAUGUAUAGUAAUUAAAAUAUGGAAAAUGUUCAGCAUCACAGUUCCGAAGGAUGCAAGGGGGGGUCAGAAGCAGUGGUUGAGGAGAGUGUCAUAUCGUCGUUUGCAAUGAACUCUGUCGAGAUCGGUUGAAGUCAACGCAUGCAGUGGCCAAGGAGGAAGACAGGUGCUGCCUUGGUUGAUGCAGGAAAAGAUCAAUCCCGACCUCGCCAUGGAACAUGGUCGAUAAACUCCCUGUUGCUAAGCAUGGCAGAUUUGAGAGGCACUGGAGUAGUCCAUGUAGCUAUUGUAGACCUUGCCAUGGCAGCCAGAGCCAAGGCAGAGCAUCUGCUGGUUUGGAGGCAUUGGGGAGCUCCUCUAGAGGAUCUCAAGCCUUGCAGAUAGUUCUCAAUAACAGGAUAGAUGGUUCAUUUAGAUCAAUGGUUGCAUACUACUUGAAAGUCUUGGUCUACAUGUAUCUUAAUGAAUAAUGGUUUUGAUCUUGGACAUUAAGUGGUGAGAACAAUGGAUCAUCACUUGUAUGGCCAUUGCAUUUGGCGGAAGAAAAAUGUGUCAUGGAAGAUUAAAGAAAUGCAUAUAUGAUUCUGGGUUCAUCACCACCAUUACAGUUGGAGCAAGUGUUUGUGACUAAUGUCAUGGGUUCCUGUUCUCCAGGAUGACCCAGUUCGGUUGUAUUAUACCACAACCAUGCAACAGAGGGCAAUCCUUAACUCAAAAUUAAGGAACUGUUGGCAGUUUCAUUCUUAAUUGUCAGCAGAUCAUAAAUUUAUGUUAAUCCUUCAGCCGAAAUCCUUCGACCGGCAGUUCUUUCUGCCUCAUAUUUCAAUCAUAUUGGCUGUCCGAUUGAGUGCUAAAUGGAGGCCUCCAAACUGGAUUUGAUCUGAAUCUGUUUUCAUAUCUGAAAUCCGAGACAUAAAAAUCAAUCGGGCCCCAAUGUAGACCUAAUGUCGAAUAAGGAUGUGCCCAGAUCUAAUAACAUCAAAGCUCAACAACUGCAGUAGUUCAGAAUUUUGGAUCUGAACUACUAGAUUUAAUAGUCUGAACCACCAGACUGCAAGCGUUGGGGUCCAAAAUCCACAUAAGCCGCAUGUGUGGUGAGCUUCUGAACAGAAUGGUUCAGCUGGUCUUCCAGUGUUAAAAUGCCUACUUGUGGCUUUCUACGACUCAGGGGAGGUGGUCCUGAGAGUGGGUUAUUAAGCUCUCCAAUGGCAAUGACAGUUGAUGGAACCAAAGAGUUUAUAUCUUUAUCUUCGCAGAAAUGCCAUUUCUUGGAAGGACCACAGACCCAAAAGACCACUCUGAUUAAUUGUCCCUCACCAUCUUCUGGACUUUUCUGUGGGUGGAUUCUCUUUCCUGUUCCUAGUUUAUUGGUAAUCAUAAAUAGCUGUCUAUUGGACAGCCAGGAAACCCUUAGCCAUCUCAGUCUUAUUCAAUGUCUAAAUUAAAAUGCCAGUUGCAAAUUUGCAAUGGCUGUCAUAACAAUUUUGAAGGCCUCCUAUUUGAUUAUAUAAAUUUAAAUAUAGAUAUGAUCAGAUUUGAGGGUAUAUUUGGUUGGGGGAAGUUGGGCUUUAAACUGGGAAUGGGAAUGAGUGACUGCCAUUCUCCCGAUUUGGUUGGGAGAAAGUCCCAUUCCCAUUUUAAUUUCAAGGAGAAUGAGAAAGCCCUAGUCCCUCAAAACCCAAUUCUUAUUUUGCCCUAGGAUUUAAAUUCCAUUCCGAUUUUGAUUCCGGCACAAACCAAACAUGUAGAGGGAUAUGACUAUUCCGAUUCCUAUUCCAAUUAAUUCAAAUUUUGAUCCCAAUUCUGAUCAUGAACCAAACAUGUCCUAAAUGGAGAUCCAUUCAACCGUAGCCAAGCCUAGCUCUCUCUCUCUCUCUCUCUAUAUAUAUAUAUAUAGAGAGAGAGAGAGAGAUCUCAAAGCUCUGGGGGAGCUUAGGGAAGAAAAAAGGUGAACGGUGGCUUAAGCAAAUGACACCAUUUUUUUGUUAUGAAAGCUUAUAUCCUGUUGUGAUCAACAAGGGUCUUCGUGACAGACGAUAUUUUAUUUUCAAAUGACACAAUCCAGGCUGAGUUGGGUAAAUAAUGGCAACGGUUUUAAAAUGGGGCUGUUAUAUGGGGAAAUAUGCAACCGUGUAUUAUUAAAACCUUGUUUGAUUCCAGUGUUCAACUCCUAGAAAGAGGCAUGUGGGACUUGUUCUUUAGGUUGAGUGAAAGCAUUAGAGCCCCAAAGGAGCAUCAUUAUAUAGUGGAAUGAUAGCCUUCCACCCUUCUUCAUAUGAAACUUCCUGCUAUAAAGGUCCCAUAGCAAGUGGACAUUAUCUAAUCACAGAAGGUUGGUGUUCUAGGUUUGAAACAAUCCUACCUACGACGCAAGCUUUAAUUUUAAAUUACAGGAAAUCAAUGUCUCCAGUUGGCAAUGGUCAGUCUCGUUGGAAGACCGCGGUUACCAGAAGAAGAAGCAAUUUCGAGAAGCGAUCCAAGAAACACAAACAAGAAAUUUUUUUACUAAAUGUCAUUUUAGACUUAGUUUAUCUGAGAGUUCAUAUCUGUAGCAUUAAAUUUUUUUUAUUCAUUUUUAAUUUAUUAUCAAAUAGAAAAAGGAGGCAAGAUCUUCUUUUGAAAAGGAAAGGGUACAAGACUGGGAGACUAACUAAUGGAUUAGGAUUGCAUACUCCCCUUGUUGUGAUUCAAGGUAGAACUAAGGUAAUAAAGAUAGAAAAAUAGGAAGUCUAAUUGACCAAAAAGGUUUGAAUUAUAGGAAGUUGAAAAUGAUGUUUCGGCAACCACCAAGAAAAGAGGAAAUCUUAACAUGGAAAGGGCUUUGACAAUCUCAACCUCUAAUUACUCCAUGAUUUCCUGAGUGGUGUCUAGGUUCCCUAGCCCAUAUAAAACAUGACUUGUUACCAUCAUAGAUUAAAAAUCAUGAAUAAAACAAAUUAUGGAUAAAAAUCAAGAUUUUACACUUUAUUUAUUUAUUAUUCUUGAUUUCUUCAGUUAACUGGCAAUUAAAAUGUAAAUGAAUCAGCCUUUGUUUCCAUCUAUAUUUAACAUCAGGAAAGCAUGAUUUGCAAAAUUCAUGAUGAGAAAUAUUCAUCUAUUUAUUCAUAUUGAAACAAUAUGCGGGACUGGUUGACAAAAUCUAGAUGAGGAAUCAGGAAUCUACUAUGUUUUUUGAUCUCAAAAAGAUUCCUGACCUCCUAAGCUAUUUGGAACAAUGUUAUUUGAAACUACAUAUACAAUACUAAAAACAAGUAUUCUCUUAUACACCAUCAAAAUCUUCUAUAUUCCAAAUCCCAAUAUAAAUACUAUUUUCAUCUUUGACUGAUGCUUUUUUUUUUUUUGAUGUUACUUUGACUGAUACUUUGAAGCAAUCUCCAUGUCCAAACUAUUUCAGACAAUUUCCCCUCACUUACACAUUACCUUAAAAUAGAGGGCCAAUUUUUGGGAGCUCGAAGUUAUUGUUGUGUGGGUCAAACAUGUAAAAGCCCAACCUAAGUAAGAGAGAAGAGCAAAACCAUCAAAACUCAUACAUCACCUCUUUGGAGGAAGAGUUACCAAUUUAAGAGUCCUCUCUCUCUCUCUCUACUAAGUACGGCCCUACUAUAAUUCACCUUGCAUGUCUUAUGUCGCCCNNNNNNNNNNNNNNNNNNNNCUUGUGAGAGUACACUUAAGUAGUCUCCUCUCUCUCUCUCUCUAAUAGGGCCCCUACUAUAAUUCACCUUGCAUGUCUUAUGUGCCCAUUCUAUAAUUUCACCCAGCCCACCAAAUCAAAGCCGUUAGAACUCGGAUAAAAGUACUUUUCUUAUAGUUCAUACAACUAAGUUUUAGAUGCCCUCACUUUUUCUUUUUACACAUCCUUCUUUCACCUUCUUUCGGUCUCUAAUGGAAGUUAACUCAAAAUUCCUACUCCUCUCCUUUCUUCCUAACCUGUCCUUCUCCUUUCCCUUUCUUGAGCCAACUACCCAAAUCAAUAGCAACAGUACAACUCCCUUAGUUCAAUUCCAUUAGCACUUUGCCCCUUAAAUAAGCAUUUAUCCCCCCACCAAACUCACCACUUUGAUUCCAAUAAUUAAAGCUGCUUAAUUAUCAUUACAGACACCCACAUAAAGUAUAUAAUGAAAACUAGAAACACCCAAUCUAUACCAGAAAAUAACCCCAAUAAUAACUCUCUUUCUUUUUUUAUAAAAAACAGCAACCUGCAAGUAAGCUCAUAAGGAGAAUAAAUAAAAUGCUUUCUUUGCACAAUUCACAGAUAGAAUUAGUUAAAAACAGCAACGCAAGAACAGUAACAAUAAUAAAAGCACUCAUAUUUAACAAAAAUUCGUCAAUGAUGACCAAAAAGAGCUAAUUUAUACCCAAAAAAAUCUCCUUUUUUUUUGUUGACACAAAUAACAUAGAGAACCACCAUACAACACCACCACAGCAGCUGCAGCAGCAGCAGCAACAGCAACAGUCGGUGCAUCGAUUACUCAACGGAAACACAUCAAACAUUAACAGGGGCGGCAAUAAAAAAAUCAGAUUUUUUUUUUUUUUAACACAGAUGACAUAUAAAACAUGUUUACAUAACAAUAAAACCACAACAACAACAAUAACAGCAACAAAUAAUUUAUAGUUUUGAAGGGAACAACAACAUCACAUACCAAAUUAAUAUCUCUCUCUCUCUUACUGGAAGAAUCGUUUCUUUUUAGAUAAGAAACAGAUGACAGGGGAGCUCGGAUGGGGUGGGCGAGAGAGAGAGAGAGCUAACUCCGGCAGCGGGUGAUGGCGGAGCAGCCGCGGGAGUAGGGGUUGGCCUGGGCGCCAGGGCGGCAGUUGUAGUAGGAGGCGCCACGGCGGGAGCAGGGGACGCUGUCGCGCUUGAGGGCGUUGUAGGAGAUGUAGUCGGAGGUCGCCAGGAUGCGGCGGGCCACCUCGGAACUCAGAUCGAACUCCUCCCCGGCGAGGCACUCCGCUAUGGUCCCCUGGCACGUCGACAUCCCCGGGAUCCAGCUCAGCGGCACGGCGCCAUCCCCUGCUCCGCCGCUGGAGUGGGCGGCUGUGGCGGCGGCAACGAGGAGGGAGAGAAGAAGGAAGGCAAGUCCCGCCAGUCUCGCCAUGGAGUGGUCGGCGCCGAAUGCCGAUGAUAUGUUUGCUUUAAUUCCUCUCCCUCCCUCCCCGCUCUCUCCUGGAAGAAGGAAAAAUAAGGCUUUUAUUUCCUCGUGGUAUCCCUCUCUCUCUUUCUCUGCGUCUGAGCUCUGAGCAAAAGCAAAGAGAGCGAGGGGA